GCGAUUGUAGUUCAAUGGCAGAAUGUGCGACUGUGGCUCGCAUGAUAGGGGUUCGAUUCCCCUCAAUCGCC
RNAcentral lists this transfer RNA (71 nucleotides) under Candidatus Woesearchaeota archaeon. RNAcentral's name for it is "tRNA-His". It matches the Rfam family "tRNA". From Rfam's summary of the family: Transfer RNA (tRNA) molecules are approximately 80 nucleotides in length. Their secondary structure includes four short double-helical elements and three loops (D, anti-codon, and T loops). Further hydrogen bonds mediate the characteristic L-shaped molecular structure. tRNAs have two regions of fundamental functional importance: the anti-codon, which is responsible for specific mRNA codon recognition, and the 3' end, to which the tRNAs corresponding amino acid is attached (by aminoacyl-tRNA synthetases). tRNAs cope with the degeneracy of the genetic code in two manners: having more than one tRNA (with a specific anti-codon) for a particular amino acid; and 'wobble' base-pairing, i.e. permitting non-standard base-pairing at the 3rd anti-codon position. Lineage: Archaea; Nanobdellati; Candidatus Woesearchaeota. The record is from RNAcentral.